Molecule: long non-coding RNA, 521 nt
Filed under: Ananas comosus (pineapple)
Lineage: Eukaryota; Viridiplantae; Streptophyta; Magnoliopsida; Poales; Bromeliaceae
Description: long non-coding RNA (ACOM_LNC028749)
Source: RNAcentral
ACAUUACGUGUCGUGAAAAAAUACGCCAAAAAAUAUCACGUCCUGCAUAUCGCGGUUAAUCAAUUACUAUACAUUUUCUAUGAUCUUAUCAGAAACAAAAUGUUCGAGAGUAUUUGAAACUUUUAGAAAAUAAAGUUUAUAAAUUUUUGAAAUCAUUAUGAAGUCCAUUAAACGAGUAUAAAAUGAACGGUUAAAAUCGAAUGACAUCCCAAAAAUAGAUGAUCGGAUUCUUCAAUUUAAGAUCGGAGUUAUUGAUCUUUAUUUAGAUAGUGAAUAAAAUUUUCUAUCAAAAAUUCAACCUAUUUUGAUUCUUUUUCACCGUUAAACUAGCAAAUAUUUCAUACCGACCGUUAAAAAUUGUCAAUUUUGUGACCGUUUGAUCAUAAGGUAAAUGAUAUCGAAAAAUUAUAAAAUUUAAUUUCUAGAAGUUUUAAAUGCUCUAGAUAAUGUUUAACGGUAUGGAUCGUCGAUUCGGAAGCUCUAUCUCUCUCUCUCUCUCUCUCUCUCUCUCUCUAUAUAUA